AAUGGGCGAAAGCCUGAUCCAGCCAUGCCGCGUGUGUGAAGAAGGUCUUCGGAUUGUAAAGCACUUUAAGUUGGGAGGAAGGGCAGUAAGUUAAUACCUUGCUGUUUUGACGUUACCGACAGAAUAAGCACCGGCUAACUCUGUGCCAGCAGCCGCGGUAAUACAGAGGGUGCAAGCGUUAAUCGGAAUUACUGGGCGUAAAGCGCGCGUAGGUGGUUCGUUAAGUUGGAUGUGAAAGCCCCGGGCUCAACCUGGGAACUGCAUCCAAAACUGGCGAGCUAGAGUACGGUAGAGGGUGGUGGAAUUUCCUGUGUAGCGGUGAAAUGCGUAGAUAUAGGAAGGAACACCAGUGGCGAAGGCGACCACCUGGACUGAUACUGACACUGAGGUGCGAAAGCGUGGGGAGCAAA
RNAcentral lists this ribosomal RNA (410 nucleotides) under uncultured bacterium. Its description in RNAcentral is "bacterial SSU rRNA". It matches the Rfam family "Bacterial small subunit ribosomal RNA", at positions 370 to 772 of the family's 1533-position model. The record is from RNAcentral.